GAUGAAGAACGUAGCGAAAUGCGAUAAGUAAUGUGAAUUGCAGAAUUCAGUGAAUCAUCGAAUCUUUGAACGCACAUUGCGCCCGCCAGUAUUCUGGCGGGCAUGCCUGUUCGAGCGUCAUUUCAACCAUCAAGCCCCCGGCUUGUGUUGGGGACAUGCGGCUGCCGCAGGCCCUGAAAACCAGUGGCGGGCUCGCUAGUCACUCCGAGCGUAGUAAUACAUCUCGCUCAGGGCGUGCUGCGGGUUCCGGCCGUUAAAAAAGCCUUAUUUACCCAAGGUUGACCUCGGAUCAGGUAGGAAGACCCGCUGAACUUAAGCAUAUCAAUAAGCGGAGGA
RNAcentral lists this unclassified non-coding RNA (336 nucleotides) under soil metagenome. RNAcentral describes it as "partial contains 5.8S ribosomal RNA, internal transcribed spacer 2, and large subunit ribosomal RNA". The stretch from base 1 to 120 matches the Rfam family "5.8S ribosomal RNA", at positions 35 to 154 of the family's 154-position model. The record is from RNAcentral.